AGCAGCCGCGGUAAUUCCAGCUCCAAUAGCGUAUAUUAAAGUUGUUGCAGUUAAAAAGCUCGUAGUUGAAUUUCGGGAUCAAUAUUUCGGUCAUGCCGUUGGUAUGCACUGUUAUCAUUGAUUUCUCACCUUCUAAAGAACCGUAAUGCCAUUAAUUUGGUGUUACGGGGAAUUAGGACUGUUACCUUGAAAAAGUUAGAGUGUUUAAAGCAGGCUCACGCUUGAAUACAUUAGCAUGGAAUAAUGAAGUAGGACAUCCGAUUCUAUUUUGUUGGUUUCUAGGAUCGAUGUAAUGAUUAAUAGGGAUAGUUGGGGGCAUUAGUAUUCAAUUGUCAGAGGUGAAAUUCUUGGAUUUAUUGAAGACUAACUACUGCGAAAGCAUUUGCCAAGGAUGUUUUCAUUAAUCAAGAACGAAAGUUAGGGGAUCGAAGACGAUCAGAUACCGUCGUAGUCUUAACCAUAAACUAUGCCGACUAGGGAUCGGAUGAUGUUAAUUUUUUAAUGACUCAUUC
Molecule: ribosomal RNA, 512 nt
Filed under: uncultured Glomus
Lineage: Eukaryota; Fungi; Glomeromycota; Glomeromycetes; Glomerales; Glomeraceae
Description: SSU rRNA
Rfam family: Eukaryotic small subunit ribosomal RNA
Source: RNAcentral